AACAACUCACCUGCCGAAGCAACUAGCCCUGAAAAUGGAUGGCGCUCUAGCGUCGUGCCUAUACCGGGCCGUCAACGGCAAAGUGGGCUAGUGCCCCGUCGGUUAACGCCGGCGGGCUUGGCCGUUAAGCCUUGACGAGUAGGAGGCGCGCGGCGGUGUGCGCAGAAGGGUCUGGGCGCGAGCCUGCCUGGAGCCGCCGUCGGUGCAGAUCUUGGUGGUAGUAGCAAAUACUCUAGCGAGGGCCUGGAGGGCUGAUGUGGAGAAGGGUUUCUUGUGAACAGCCGUUGCACAAGAGUCAGUCGACCCUAAGCCCUAGGAGAAAUCCGAUGUUGAUGGGCAGCGAUCAUGCGGCUGGUUCGGUUGGUGCGCCAAAAACGCGCCGCUGCCGGCCUACCGACUGCUCCCGUCGGGCGAAAGGGAAUCCGGUUCCUAUUCCGGAACCCGGCUGCGGAACCGUAACUUAGCGGGCACUCGCCUGCGAGCGCUCGUCGGGGUAACCCAAAAUGACCCGGAGACGCCGGCGGGAGGUCUGGAAAGAGUUGUCUUUUCUUUAUAAGCGUUCGAGUUCCCUGGAAUCCUAUAGCAGGGAGAUAGGGUUUGGAACGCGAAGAGCACCGCAGUUGCGGCGGUGUCCGGACCUUCCCCCCGGACCUUGAAAAUCCGGGUGAGGGCUACGCGGAAAUGUCGCGCCGGCUCGUACCCAUAUCCGCAGCAGGUCUCCAAGGUUAAGAGCCUCUAGUCGAUAGAAUAAUGUAGGUAAGGGAAGUCGGCAAAUU
Molecule: ribosomal RNA, 776 nt
Filed under: Issus lauri
Lineage: Eukaryota; Metazoa; Arthropoda; Insecta; Hemiptera; Issidae
Description: partial large subunit ribosomal RNA
Rfam family: Eukaryotic large subunit ribosomal RNA
Source: RNAcentral